This is a long non-coding RNA of Bactrocera neohumeralis, 486 nucleotides long. RefSeq lists it as uncharacterized. The record is from RefSeq and is a predicted model, not a curated record. NCBI's taxonomy places the organism in Eukaryota, Metazoa, Arthropoda, Insecta, Diptera, Tephritidae. The transcript has 3 exons.
UCUGCAUCCACAAGCGGCAGCUCGUUUUCAUACUGAUGUCGAUAACGCCGUAACCGGAAAACUCUUUGAAUAUUCAAAUUGGAAAAAACAUUAACUUCGAUUGCACCGAAGUUAGUAGAACACCAUUCACAAUAAAAAAAGCUUCAUACAAAAACUUAAUUUUCAUCGGUUUUGCUAUGUUUAGAUGUAUAUGCUAUAUUGGUCCGAUCAAAGAAAUUUAUUCGGAUAUUAUAGCGGUCCUUGGCCAAUAAAUUGUGCGGACAUCAUUCGAUUGUAAGUAUCAAUGUACGUUAACGGGGAAUUAAGGCGAUGAUAUCGUUGAUUUGGGAUUCGCUAAUUUAUUCCGUUCACAAUAUAGUCGGACCAGAGCCGGAUGUGUAUCCGGUCACAGACGGUUACAAAUGCAGAAAACUAUUAAGAUAAGACUAUAAAAAUAUGCAUAGGUAUAUUUUAAAAUAAAAUAAAUUUUGAAUGUAAGUAACAUUA